UGACGCUGGCGGGGCUUGACACAUCCCAGUNUUNNAGGUACAGAGAGUAGCUUGCUACUUUGCUGUACGAGCGGCGGACGGGUGAGUAAUGCUUGGGAAUAUGCCUUUUGGUGGGGGACAACAGUUGGAAACGACUGCUAAUACCGCAUAAUGUCUACGGACCAAAGUGGGGGACCUUCGGGCCUCACGCCAAAAGAUUAGCCCAAGUGGGAUUAGCUAGUUGGUAAGGUAAUGGCUUACCAAGGCAACGAUCCCUAGGCUGGUUUGAGAGGAUGAUCAGCCACACUGGGACUGAGACACGGCCCAGACUCCUACGGGAGGCAGCAGUGGGGAAUAUUGCACAAUGGGCGCAACGCCUGAUGCAGCCAUGCCGCGUGUGUGAAGAAGGCCAUUCGGGUUGUAACAUGCACUUUCAGCUAAGGACGGAAAGGGUAGUCUUUAAUAGAGGCUAUCUGUGACGUUACUUACAGAAGAAGCACCGGCUAACUCCGUGCCAGCAGCCGCGGUAAUACGGAGGGUGCGAGCGUUAAUCGGAAUUACUGGGCGUAAAGCGUACGCAGGCGGUUUGUUAAGCGAGAUGUGACAAGCCCCGGGGCUCAACCUGGGGAAACUUGCAUUUUCGAACUGGGCAAACUAGAGUUGUGAUACGCACGGGGUUGGUACGGAUUUCGGGUGUAGCGGGUGCAAUGCGUUGACGAUCUGAGGGACUACGAUGGCGAAGGCCGCCCUGGGUCACACUGACGCUCCUUGUCGAAAGCGUUGGGGAGGCACCCG
Molecule: ribosomal RNA, 774 nt
Filed under: Pseudoalteromonas sp. UST050418-168
Lineage: Bacteria; Pseudomonadati; Pseudomonadota; Gammaproteobacteria; Alteromonadales; Pseudoalteromonadaceae
Description: bacterial SSU rRNA
Rfam family: Bacterial small subunit ribosomal RNA
Source: RNAcentral